UGGGGAAUAUUGCACAAUGGGCACAAGCCUGAUGCAGCCAUGCCGCGUGUGUGAAGAAGGCCUUCGGGUUGUAAAGCACUUUCAGCGGGGAGGAAGGCGUUAAGGUUAAUAACCUUGGCGAUUGACGUUACCCGCAGAAGAAGCACCGGCUAACUCCGUGCCAGCAGCCGCGGUAAUACGGAGGGUGCAAGCGUUAAUCGGAAUUACUGGGCGUAAAGCGCACGCAGGCGGUCUGUCAAGUCGGAUGUGAAAUCCCCGGGCUCAACCUGGGAACUGCAUUCGAAACUGGCAGGGUAGAGUCUUGUAGAGGGGGGUAGAAUUCCAGGUGUAGCGGUGAAAUGCGUAGAGAUCUGGAGGAAUACCGGUGGCGAAGGCGGCCCCCUGGACAAAGACUGACGCUCAGGUGCGAAAGCGUGGGGAGCAAACAGG
RNAcentral lists this ribosomal RNA (429 nucleotides) under Chloroflexota bacterium. RNAcentral's name for it is "Chloroflexi bacterium partial 16S ribosomal RNA". It matches the Rfam family "Bacterial small subunit ribosomal RNA", at positions 355 to 776 of the family's 1533-position model. The record is from RNAcentral. Lineage: Bacteria; Bacillati; Chloroflexota.